UCGCCUAUGGGUUAGGUCUGUCUCUCUCUAUUUGGAGACAGUUCUUUGUCACCUACCCCAAUAAAUACCUCACUGCACCCUCCCUUGCUUCUUUCCCCUUCUCCCUCAUACUCUAUCAGGGUCAUUGUCUCUUAUUCUGUGCCCUUUGUCCCUCUGAGGCAAAUAAAUCUCCUUUAUGCUGAGAACUUGGUCUUGAGUUGUCUUGAGCCUAUACAGGUCCCUACAGAUUUCACAGUAUCCUGAAAGAUAGGCUAGGAAAGACUCCUGAAUGCAGAUGGUGUUGGAGACAGGCCCUGCAGUUCGAAUAGGAGUUGUCCUAGUCACAAAGAAACCUAUACAGAGAGAACCAUCAGCUGAAGCAAAGCCACAUAUAAAGGUCCACAGUGGAUUGGAAGCAACAGCAUAUGCGCAGUGUCUAGAGAUAUGAUGGCUUCUGAGCACUUAGGCUAGGGACAACUGAGCACUCCUGUGACGUGAACCUGGCUCCCAAAGGCAGAGGAAACCUCUUUAGAGGGAAACCUCGUUUGGUUUGGUUUGGUUUGGUUUGGUUUGGUUUGGUUUGGUUUGGUUUGGUUUGGUUUGGUUUGGUUCUCAAGUUGGGGUUUCUCCGUGUAGCCCUGGCCAUCCUGGAACUCACUUUAUAGACCAGGUCUUGUCUUAAAUUCAGAGAUCCACCUGCCUCCUAAGUGCUAAGACUAAAGGCAUGAACCGCCACUACCCAGCAUGAGGAAAUGUUUUUUAUUUUAUUUUUGAGAACUUGAUGAGCACGCCCAAAUCACUUCCUCUCCUCCCUUCCCCCUCUGGCUCCUUCCAUACCUCAAAAUCCAUGAACUCUUGUACUUUAGUUAUUGUUGGUACCUGGAACUGAGGGCCCUAUAUGGGGCUGUGUUCAGAAAGAUGUGGAGAAUUGGGGUAGAGGGGAGCCAACUUACGGUGAGAACAGUCAUUGUAUGAUCCUGGCCAGCAACGGAAUGCAGUAGUUCCACAGAGAGAGGGCUUUGCCCUGAAUCCCAGCCCCAACUGCACAAACUCCUUUGUGCAGGAAUCUCAAAGUCUCUCAAAGAGCACUCUGCUCCAGCUAAGGGGGGGGGGGUGCAUCAAGGUGAAGUCUCUGGUCAAUACAUUUAGAGACUGCUGGGUUAAACCUUUUUCUUGAAGCAUAGCUUUUCAAAGCCUUUAAUACACACUACGUCUGGUAUGUGUAAUAUAAAGAGUUAUCCAAACUUAUUUUACUAAGGAAAUUUAUCUGAGAGCAUUUCAAGGGCAUAGAGUUUAAUGGAAUGUGUAAAAUAAAUUUUUAAAGACCUGGAGUUUCAUGAUUCUGCCAGUUCUAGUUUCUGGG
Molecule: long non-coding RNA, 1342 nt
Filed under: Mus musculus (house mouse)
Lineage: Eukaryota; Metazoa; Chordata; Mammalia; Rodentia; Muridae
Description: long non-coding RNA chr7:89827217-89828559
Source: RNAcentral